This 492-nucleotide ribosomal RNA is filed under the name uncultured bacterium. RNAcentral's name for it is "partial 16S ribosomal RNA". It matches the Rfam family "Bacterial small subunit ribosomal RNA", at positions 29 to 507 of the family's 1533-position model. The record is from RNAcentral.
AGUGAACGCUGGCGGUAGGCCUAACACAUGCAAGUCGAACGGCAGCACAGUAAGAGCUUGCUCUUACGGGUGGCGAGUGGCGGACGGGUGAGGAAUACAUCGGAAUCUACUUUUUCGUGGGGGAUAACGUAGGGAAACUUACGCUAAUACCGCAUACGACCUACGGGUGAAAGCAGGGGAUCUUCGGACCUUGCGCGAUUGAAUGAGCCGAUGUCGGAUUAGCUAGUUGGCGGGGUAAAGGCCCACCAAGGCGACGAUCCGUAGCUGGUCUGAGAGGAUGAUCAGGCACAAUUGGAAUGAGACACGGUCCAGACUCCUACGGGAGGCCAGAGUGGGGAAUAUUGGACAAUGGGCGCAAGCCUGAUCCAGCCAUACCGCGUGGGUGAAGAAGGCCUUCGGGUUGUAAAGCCCUUUUGUUGGGAAAGAAAAGCAGCAGGUUAAUACCCCGCUGUUCUGACGGUACCCAAAGAAUAAGCACCGGCUAACUUCGUG